Molecule: ribosomal RNA, 1369 nt
Filed under: uncultured bacterium
Lineage: Bacteria
Description: bacterial SSU rRNA
Rfam family: Bacterial small subunit ribosomal RNA
Source: RNAcentral
AGAGUUUGAUCCUGGCUCAGAACGAACGCUGGCGGCGUGGAUAAGACAUGCAAGUCGAACGAGAGAAUUGCUAGCUUGCUAAUAAUUCUCUAGUGGCGCACGGGUGAGUAACACGUGAGUAACCUGCCCCCGAGAGCGGGAUAGCCCUGGGAAACUGGGAUUAAUACCGCAUAGUAUCGAAAGAUUAAAGCAGCAAUGCGCUUGGGGAUGGGCUCGCGGCCUAUUAGUUAGUUGGUGAGGUGACGGCUCACCAAGGCGAUGACGGGUAGCCGGUCUGAGAGGAUGUCCGGCCACACUGGAACUGAGACACGGUCCAGACACCUACGGGUGGCAGCAGUCGAGAAUCAUUCACAAUGGGGGAAACCCUGAUGGUGCGACGCCGCGUGGGGGAAUGAAGGUCUUCGGAUUGUAAACCCCUGUCAUGUGGGAGCAAAUUAAAAAGAUAGUACCACAAGAGGAAGAGACGGCUAACUCUGUGCCAGCAGCCGCGGUAAUACAGAGGUCUCAAGCGUUGUUCGGAAUCACUGGGCGUAAAGCGUGCGUAGGCUGUUUCGUAAGUCGUGUGUGAAAGGCGCGGGCUCAACCCGCGGACGGCACAUGAUACUGCGAGACUAGAGUAAUGGAGGGGGAACCGGAAUUCUCGGUGUAGCAGUGAAAUGCGUAGAUAUCGAGAGGAACACUCGUGGCGAAGGCGGGUUCCUGGACAUUAACUGACGCUGAGGCACGAAGGCCAGGGGAGCGAAAGGGAUUAGAUACCCCUGUAGUCCUGGCAGUAAACGGUGCACGCUUGGUGUGCGGGGAAUCGACCCCCUGCGUGCCGGAGCUAACGCGUUAAGCGUGCCGCCUGGGGAGUACGGUCGCAAGAUUAAAACUCAAAGAAAUUGACGGGGACCCGCACAAGCGGUGGAGUAUGUGGCUUAAUUCGAUGCAACGCGAAGAACCUUACCUGGGCUUGACAUGUAAUGAACAACAUGUGAAAGCAUGCGACUCUUCGGAGGCGUUACACAGGUGCUGCAUGGCCGUCGUCAGCUCGUGUCGUGAGAUGUUUGGUUAAGUCCAGCAACGAGCGCACCCCUGUUGCCAGUUACCAGCACGUGAAGGUGGGGACUCUGGCGAGACUGCCCAGAUCAACUGGGAGGAAGGUGGGGACGACGUCAGGUCAGUAUGGCCCUUAUGCCCAGGGCUGCACACGUACUACAAUGCCCAGUACAGAGGGGGCCGAAGCCGCGAGGCGGAGGAAAUCCUGAAAACUGGGCCCAGUUCGGACUGUAGGCUGCAACCCGCCUACACGAAGCCGGAAUCGCUAGUAAUGGCGCAUCAGCUACGGCGCCGUGAAUACGUUCCCGGGUCUUGUACUCACCGCCCGUCA